This 342-nucleotide ribosomal RNA is filed under the name uncultured bacterium. Its description in RNAcentral is "bacterial SSU rRNA". It matches the Rfam family "Bacterial small subunit ribosomal RNA", at positions 335 to 664 of the family's 1533-position model. The record is from RNAcentral.
ACUCCUACGGGAGGCAGCAGGUGGGGAAUAUUGCAGCAAUGGGGGAAACCCUGAUGCAGGCCAUGCCGCGUGUGUGAAGAAGGCCUUCGGGUUGUUAAAGCACUUUCAGUAGGGAGGAAGGUAGUGUAGUUAACACCUGCACUAAUUUGACGUUACCUACAGAAGAAGCACCGGCUAACUCCGUGCCAGCAGCCGCGGUAAUACGGAGGGUGCGAGCGUUAAUCGGAAUUACUGGGCGUAAAGCGCAUGCAGGCGGCCUGUUAAGUCAGAUGUGAAAGCCCGGGGCUUAACCUCGGAAUUGCAUUUGAAACUGGUAGGCUAGAGUCUUGUUAAGAGGGGGUA